RNAcentral lists this ribosomal RNA (272 nucleotides) under Hyalomma marginatum. RNAcentral describes it as "partial large subunit ribosomal RNA". The record is from RNAcentral. Lineage: Eukaryota; Metazoa; Arthropoda; Arachnida; Ixodida; Ixodidae.
UAUUUUGACUAUACAAAGGUAUUGUAAUAAGAUUUUAAUUGAAUGCUAAAAGAAUGGAAAUUUAAAAAAAAACUUUUUUAAAAAUAAAAAUUGAAUUUUUUUUAAUUUGUGCAAAAACAAUUAUACUUAUUAAAGACAAGAAGACCCUAAGAAUUUAAGAUUUUACAAUUAAAAAGUUUUUUUUUUAAAAUCUUGAUUGGGGCAAUCAAAAAAUAUUAAUAACUUUUUAAAAUUUAAAUUGAUCUAUUAUUAAUAAACUAAUGAAUUAAAUA